AGAACGAACGCUGGCGGCAGGCCUAAAACAUGCAAGUCGAACGCUCUAGCAAUAGGGAGUGGCGCACGGGUGAGUAACAUGUGGGAAUAUGCCUUUUGGUACGGAACAACUUUUGGAAACGAAAGCUAAUACCGUAUGGUCCCUUCGGGGUAAAGAUUUAUCGCCAAAAGAGUAGCCCGCACUGGAUUAGCUAGUUGGUAAGGUAAUGGCUUACCAAGGCGACGAUCCAUAGCUGGUCUGAGAGGACGAUCAGCCACACUGGGACUGAGACACGGCCCAGACUCCUACGGGAGGCAGCAGUUAGGAAUCUUGGACAAUGGGCGCAAGCCUGAUCCAGCCAUGCCGCGUGAGUGAUGAAGGCCUUCGGGUUGUAAAGCUCUUUAGUCCACGAAUAUAAUGACUGUAGUGGAAGAAUAAGCCCCGGCUAACUUCGCGCCAGCAGCCGC
This 446-nucleotide ribosomal RNA is filed under the name uncultured bacterium. RNAcentral describes it as "SSU rRNA". It matches the Rfam family "Bacterial small subunit ribosomal RNA", at positions 26 to 518 of the family's 1533-position model. The record is from RNAcentral.